GAUGAACGCUGGCGGCGUGCCUAAUACAUGCAAGUCGAGCGAACGGACGAGAAGCUUGCUUCUCUGAUGUUAGCGGCGGACGGGUGAGUAACACGUGGAUAACCUACCUAUAAGACUGGGAUAACUUCGGGAAACCGGAGCUAAUACCGGAUAAUAUUUUGAACCGCAUGGUUCAAAAGUGAAAGACGGUCUUGCUGUCACUUAUAGAUGGAUCCGCGCUGCAUUAGCUAGUUGGUAAGGUAACGGCUUACCAAGGCAACGAUGCAUAGCCGACCUGAGAGGGGGAUCGGCCACACGGGAACUGAGACACGGUCCAGACUCCUACGGGAGGCAGCAGUAGGGAAUCGUCCGCAAUGGGCGAAAGCCUGACGGAGCAACGCCGCGUGAGUGAUGAAGGUCUUCGGAUCGUAAAACUCUGUUAUUAGGGAAGAACAUAUGUGUAAGUAACUGUGCACAUCUUGACGGUACCUAAUCAGAAAGCCACGGCUAACUACGUG
This 497-nucleotide ribosomal RNA is filed under the name uncultured bacterium. RNAcentral's name for it is "partial 16S ribosomal RNA". It matches the Rfam family "Bacterial small subunit ribosomal RNA", at positions 28 to 507 of the family's 1533-position model. The record is from RNAcentral.